RNAcentral lists this ribosomal RNA (134 nucleotides) under uncultured bacterium. RNAcentral's name for it is "partial 16S rRNA". It matches the Rfam family "Bacterial small subunit ribosomal RNA", at positions 355 to 506 of the family's 1533-position model. The record is from RNAcentral.
UGGGGAAUAUUGCACAAUGGGGGAAACCCUGAUGCAGCAACGCCGCGUGAGUGAUGACGGUCUUCGGAUUGUAAAACUCUGUCUUCAGGGACGAUAAUGACGGUACCUGAGGAGGAAGCCACGGCUAACUACGU